UAAGGAAUAUUGGACAAUGGAGGCAACCCUGAUCCAGCCAUGCCGCGUGAAGGAAUAAGGCCCUAUGGGUUGUAAACUUCUUUUAGACGGGACAAAACCCCUUUACGUGUAAAGGGUUGAUGGUACUGUCAGAAUAAGCAUCGGCUAACUUCGUGCCAGCAGCCGCGGUAAUACGAAGGAUGCAAGCGUUAUCCGGAAUUAUUGGGUUUAAAGGGUGCGUAGGCGGACUAAUAAGUCAGUGGUGAAAGCCUGCAGCUUAACUGCAGAAUUGCCAUUGAUACUGUUAUUCUUGAGUACAGUUGAGGUAGGCGGAAUGUGUCAUGUAGCGGUGAAAUGCUUAGAUAUGACACAGAACACCAAUUCCGAAGGCAGCUUGCUAAGCUGUAACUGACGCUGAGGCACGAAAGCGUGGGGAGCAAACA
RNAcentral lists this ribosomal RNA (422 nucleotides) under uncultured bacterium. RNAcentral's name for it is "bacterial SSU rRNA". It matches the Rfam family "Bacterial small subunit ribosomal RNA", at positions 355 to 774 of the family's 1533-position model. The record is from RNAcentral.